GUACACUCCUGCGGGAGGCAGCAGUGGGGAAUUUUGGACAAUGGGCGAAAGCCUGAUCCAGCAAUGCCGCGUGCAGGAUGAAGGCCUUCGGGUUGUAAACUGCUUUUGUACGGAACGAAAAAGCUCCUUCUAAUACAGGGGGCCCAUGACGGUACCGUAAGAAUAAGCACCGGCUAACUACGUGCCAGCAGCCGCGGUAAUACGUAGGGUGCGAGCGUUAAUCGGAAUUACUGGGCGUAAAGCGUGCGCAGGCGGUUAUGUAAGACAGAUGUGGAAUCCCCGGGCUCAACCUGGGAACUGCAUUUGUGACUGCAUGGCUAGAGUACGGUAGAGGGGGAUGGAAUUCCGCGUGUAGCAGUGAAAUGCGUAGAUAUGCGGAGGAACACCGAUGGCGAAGGCAAUCCCCUGGACCUGUACUGACGCUCAUGCACGAAAGCGUGGGGAGCAAACAGGAUUAGAUACCCUUGUAGUCCCAUGA
This 478-nucleotide ribosomal RNA is filed under the name uncultured organism. RNAcentral describes it as "partial 16S ribosomal RNA". It matches the Rfam family "Bacterial small subunit ribosomal RNA", at positions 331 to 800 of the family's 1533-position model. The record is from RNAcentral.